Molecule: small RNA, 359 nt
Filed under: Arabidopsis thaliana (thale cress)
Lineage: Eukaryota; Viridiplantae; Streptophyta; Magnoliopsida; Brassicales; Brassicaceae
Description: ATSL194180
Source: RNAcentral
CUUUUAAAUUUCUUGUAAGUCGUUUACUAAAAUUACUAUCAAACUUUACAAGUAAUUUUAAUAGUAAUUCUAAUAAUUUACCUUUUUAAAAUAUUUUGUAAAAGCCUGUUUAAAACGUCUUUGAAAAUCCUUUUAAAAUACCUUGUAAAUAUUUCGUUAUGCCACUUACAUAUACUUUUAACAAUUGUGAAUCAAGUUAAACACUUUUACAAGCUUUUAAAAUCCCUUAUAAAUCAUUUUCUGACAUUAACUUAUUCUUCUUAAACGAUUGUUAAUCAAGUAAACCCCUUUUAAAAGCUUUUAAAAUCCCUUGUAAAUCAUGUUUUACCACUUUAUUAUCCUUAAAAACCGAUAGCAAA